UAGUGGCGAACGGGUGAGUAACACGUGGGCAAUCUGCCCUUCACUCUGGGACAAGCCCUGGAAACGGGGUCUAAUACCGGAUAUCACUCCUGCAGGCAUCUGCGGGAGUUGAAAGCUCCGGCGGUGAAGGAUGAGCCCGCGGCCUAUCAGCUUGUUGGUGAGGUAAUGGCUCACCAAGGCGACGACGGGUAGCCGGCCUGAGAGGGCGACCGGCCACACUGGGACUGAGACACGGCCCAGACUCCUACGGGAGGCAGCAGUGGGGAAUAUUGCACAAUGGGCGAAAGCCUGAUGCAGCGACGCCGCGUGAGGGAUGACGGCCUUCGGGUUGUAAACCUCUUUCAGCAGGGAAGAAGCGAAAGUGACGGUACCUGCAGAAGAAGCGCCGGCUAACUACGUGCCAGCAGCCGCGGUAAUACGUAGGGCGCAAGCGUUGUCCGGAAUUAUUGGGCGUAAAGAGCUCGUAGGCGGNUUGUCACGUCGGGUGUGAAAGCCCGGGGCUUANCCCCGGGUCUGCAUUCGAUACGGGCUAGCUAGAGUGUGGAAGGGGGAGAUCGGGAAUUCCU
RNAcentral lists this ribosomal RNA (566 nucleotides) under Streptomyces sp. 418E07. RNAcentral's name for it is "bacterial SSU rRNA". It matches the Rfam family "Bacterial small subunit ribosomal RNA", at positions 93 to 671 of the family's 1533-position model. The record is from RNAcentral. Lineage: Bacteria; Bacillati; Actinomycetota; Actinomycetes; Kitasatosporales; Streptomycetaceae.